Molecule: ribosomal RNA, 440 nt
Filed under: uncultured bacterium
Lineage: Bacteria
Description: partial 16S ribosomal RNA
Rfam family: Bacterial small subunit ribosomal RNA
Source: RNAcentral
CCUACGGGAGGCAGCAGUGGGGAAUAUUGCACAAUGGGGGAAACCCUGAUGCAGCGACGCCGCGUGAGUGAAGAAGGAUUUCGGUACGGAAAGCUCUAUCAGCAGGGAAGAAAAUGACGGUACCUGACUAAGAAGCCCCGGCUAACUACGUGCCAGCAGCCGCGGUAAUACGUAGGGGGCAAGCGUUAUCCGGAGUUACUGGGGGGAAAGGGAGCGUAGACGGCAGCGCAAGUCUGGAGUGAAAUCCCAUGGCUUAACCAUGGAACUGCUUUGGAAACUGUGCAGCUAGAGUGCAGGAGAGGUAAGCGGAUUUCCUCGUGUAGCGGUGAAAUGCGUAGAUAUUAGGAGGCACCCCAGUGGCGAAGGCGGCUUACUGGACUGUAACUGACGUUGCGGCUCGAACGCGUGGGGAGCAAACAGGAUUAGAUACCCCUGUAGUC